RNAcentral lists this ribosomal RNA (276 nucleotides) under uncultured Staphylococcus sp. RNAcentral describes it as "partial 16S ribosomal RNA". It matches the Rfam family "Bacterial small subunit ribosomal RNA", at positions 86 to 356 of the family's 1533-position model. Lineage: Bacteria; Bacillati; Bacillota; Bacilli; Caryophanales; Staphylococcaceae. The record is from RNAcentral.
UUUACGUUAGCGGCGGACGGGUGAGUAACACGUGGGUAACCUACCUAUAAGACUGGGAUAACUUCGGGAAACCGGAGCUAAUACCGGAUAAUAUUUCGAACCGCAUGGUUCGAUAGUGAAAGAUGGUUUUGCUAUCACUUAUAGAUGGACCCGCGCCGUAUUAGCUAGUUGGUAAGGUAACGGCUUACCAAGGCGACGAUACGUAGCCGACCUGAGAGGGUGAUCGGCCACACUGGAACUGAGACACGGUCCAGACUCCUACGGGAGGCAGCAGCG